Molecule: ribosomal RNA, 621 nt
Filed under: Bacillus sp. 13452
Lineage: Bacteria; Bacillati; Bacillota; Bacilli; Caryophanales; Bacillaceae
Description: bacterial SSU rRNA
Rfam family: Bacterial small subunit ribosomal RNA
Source: RNAcentral
AUGGGAGCUUGCUCCCUGAUGUUAGCGGCGGACGGGUGAGUAACACGUGGGUAACCUGCCUGUAAGACUGGGAUAACUCCGGGAAACCGGGGCUAAUACCGGAUGCUUGUUUGAACCGCAUGGUUCAAACAUAAAAGGUGGCUUCGGCUACCACUUACAGAUGGACCCGCGGCGCAUUAGCUAGUUGGUGAGGUAAUGGCUCACCAAGGCAACGAUGCGUAGCCGACCUGAGAGGGUGAUCGGCCACACUGGGACUGAGACACGGCCCAGACUCCUACGGGAGGCAGCAGUAGGGAAUCUUCCGCAAUGGACGAAAGUCUGACGGAGCAACGCCGCGUGAGUGAUGAAGGUUUUCGGAUCGUAAAGCUCUGUUGUUAGGGAAGAACAAGUACCGUUCGAAUAGGGCGGUACCUUGACGGUACCUAACCAGAAAGCCACGGCUAACUACGUGCCAGCAGCCGCGGUAAUACGUAGGUGGCAAGCGUUGUCCGGAAUUAUUGGGCGUAAAGGGCUCGCAGGCGGUUCCUUAAGUCUGAUGUGAAAGCCCCCGGCUCAACCGGGGAGGGUCAUUGGAAACUGGGGAACUUGAGUGCAGAAGAGGAGAGUGGAAUUCCACGUGUA